GCGGGAAUAUCCGGUUGCGCUUCAGGCUCAUAACCUGAAGGUCGCUGGUUCGAAUCCAGCCCCCGCA
This 67-nucleotide transfer RNA is filed under the name Verrucomicrobiota bacterium. RNAcentral describes it as "Verrucomicrobia bacterium (anaerobic digester metagenome) tRNA-Ser". It matches the Rfam family "tRNA". Rfam says of the family: Transfer RNA (tRNA) molecules are approximately 80 nucleotides in length. Their secondary structure includes four short double-helical elements and three loops (D, anti-codon, and T loops). The record is from RNAcentral. Lineage: Bacteria; Pseudomonadati; Verrucomicrobiota. RNAcentral also lists the same sequence under 1 other name.